AAGGCACUACCCUGUGAUUUCCUGGUUAGAAUACUUGGCUUUUGCCUUCUCCCAUCUGGAUGCACCAGAAGAGGGAACGGGACUGGGGACAACAAAGUAUUAACGAAGAUUUCAAAGCUGGGAGUUGUAAAGUGGGAAUUGCUAAUGAAGAAGGCUCUUGGCAUUUGGAUCCCCAUCUCCAGCUCUCCAAUAAGCCAGAGCAGGAGGGAACAAAGGGGCACCCGGAAGGGAGAAGAGGAGACUCGCAUAGACACUGCUCAGCAAUAGUGGGGAUCAAAAGAAGAAAAAGGUCGCUGCAGUGGAAGAAGAAAAAUCCAAGCUGUACUUUUUCCCCACCCCACGUGUGGGGGCGCUGCCCUCUCCCCAGCUGAGCCUGUGAAGGGGUGGCAGGACAAAAAGGGCAGCCACAAGGGUCUGCGAAGUCCACUCGAUGACCACGGAGGCCGCCUGAACAUGCUAAUGAGGGGAUGGCGGUGCUGCCAGCGAGUUGGGAGCCUCAGGCAGGUGGGCUCCUUGGUGGUGAUAGAUCCCAAUCUGAAUCAGGGCUCCCGCCUCACCUAGAAGCUCAGCCUUAGCCUGGCAAACCCCACCCCCAGCAAGUGUUGAGACAAAGGUGGGCAGAGCAGAGAAGGCAGAGGAAGGGAGGCUGCAAAUCCUGGGCAGCUUGGGGGCUGCAGGGGGUGCUGGGAAAGGGAGGGAGAAGCAGGAAAAGAGGAACGGGCCCAGUCCCUGAGGUUCAGCGGGCCUCUCCUGACAGACUGGAUGUUUCUCUCCCAGUGACCUCUGUUUAGCAGACAAUAACUCAGUGGAUUAAUGACCAAUCAGCGAAAGGCCUUCCGAAUUGC
This is a long non-coding RNA of Homo sapiens (human), 845 nucleotides long. Ensembl annotates it as HOXB cluster antisense RNA 2. Its record names the gene HOXB-AS2. The record is from Ensembl. NCBI's taxonomy places the organism in Eukaryota, Metazoa, Chordata, Mammalia, Primates, Hominidae.